GUGAACGCUGGCGGUAGGCCUAACACAUGCAAGUCGAACGGCAGCACAGUAAGAGCUUGCUCUUACGGGUGGCGAGUGGCGGACGGGUGAGGAAUACAUCGGAAUCUACUUUUUCGUGGGGGAUAACGUAGGGAAACUUACGCUAAUACCGCAUACGACCUACGGGUGAAAGCAGGGGAUCUUCGGACCUUGCGCGAUUGAAUGAGCCGAUGUCGGAUUAGCUAGUUGGCGGGGUAAAGGCCCACCAAGGCGUCGAUCCGUAGCUGGUCUGAGAGGAUGAUCAGCCACACUGGAACUGAGACACGGUCCAGACUCCUACGGGAGGCAGCAGUGGGGAAUAUUGGACAAUGGGCGCAAGCCUGAUCCAGCCAUACCGCGUGGGUGAAGAAGGCCUUCGGGUUGUAAAGCCCUUUUGUUGGGAAAGAAAAGCAGCAGGUUAAUACCCCGCUGUUCUGACGGUACCCAAAGAAUAAGCACCGGCUAACUUCGUG
RNAcentral lists this ribosomal RNA (491 nucleotides) under uncultured bacterium. RNAcentral describes it as "partial 16S ribosomal RNA". It matches the Rfam family "Bacterial small subunit ribosomal RNA", at positions 29 to 507 of the family's 1533-position model. The record is from RNAcentral.